RNAcentral lists this ribosomal RNA (206 nucleotides) under uncultured bacterium. RNAcentral describes it as "partial 16S ribosomal RNA". It matches the Rfam family "Bacterial small subunit ribosomal RNA", at positions 568 to 774 of the family's 1533-position model. The record is from RNAcentral.
UGCGUAGGUGGUGAGGUAAGUCGGAUGUGAAAGCUCGGAGCUCAACUCCGAAAUGGCAUUGGAAACUACCUUGCUCGAGGGUUGGAGGGGGGACUGGAAUGCUUGGUGUAGCAGUGAAAUGCGUAGAUAUCAAGUGGAACACCAGUGGCGAAGGCGAGUCCCUGGACAACUCCUGACACUGAGGCACGAAAGCUAGGGAGCAAACA